AAGCGCACCAAUAACCUACCUGGU
This 24-nucleotide non-coding RNA is filed under the name Arabidopsis thaliana (thale cress). Lineage: Eukaryota; Viridiplantae; Streptophyta; Magnoliopsida; Brassicales; Brassicaceae. The record is from RNAcentral.